GACGAACGCUGGCGGCGUGCUUAACACAUGCAAGUCGAACGGAAAGGCCCUGCUUUUGUGGGGUGCUCGAGUGGCGAACGGGUGAGUAACACGUGAGUAACCUGCCCUUGACUUUGGGAUAACUUCAGGAAACUGGGGCUAAUACCGGAUAGGAGCUCCUGCUGCAUGGUGGGGGUUGGAAAGUUUCGGCGGUUGGGGAUGGACUCGCGGCUUAUCAGCUUGUUGGUGGGGUAGUGGCUUACCAAGGCUUUGACGGGUAGCCGGCCUGAGAGGGUGACCGGCCACAUUGGGACUGAGAUACGGCCCAGGCUCCUACGGGAGGCAGCAGUGGGGAAUAUUGCACAAUGGGCGGAAGCCUGAUGCAGCAACGCCGCGUGCGGGAUGACGGCCUUCGGGUUGUAAACCGCUUUCGCCUGUGACGAAGCGUGAGUGACGGUAAUGGGUAAAGAAGCACCGGCUAACUACGUGCCAGCAGCCGCGGUGAUACGUAGGGUGCGAGCGUUGUCCGGAUUUAUUGGGCGUAAAGGGCUCGUAGGUGGUUGAUCGCGUCGGAAGUGUAAUCUUGGGGCUUAACCCUGAGCGUGCUUUCGAUACGGGUUGACUUGAGGAAGGUAGGGGAGAAUGGAAUUCCUGGUGGAGCGGUGGAAUGCGCAGAUAUCAGGAGGAACACCAGUGGCGAAGGCGGUUCUCUGGGCCUUUCCUGACGCUGAGGAGCGAAAGCGUGGGGAGCGAACAGGCUUAGAUACCCUGGUAGUCCACGCUGUAAACGGUGGGUACUAGGUGUGGGGUCCAUUCCACGGGUUCCGUGCCGUAGCUAACGCUUUAAGUACCCCGCCUGGGGAGUACGGCCGCAAGGCUAAAACUCAAAGGAAUUGACGGGGCCCCGCACAAGCGGCGGAGCAUGCGGAUUAAUUCGAUGCAACGCGUAGAACCUUACCUGGGUUUGACAUGGAUCGGGAGUGCUCAGAGAUGGGUGUGCCUCUUUUGGGGUCGGUUCACAGGUGGUGCAUGGCUGUCGUCAGCUCGUGUCGUGAGAUGUUGGGUUAAGUCCCGCAACGAGCGCAACCCUUGUUCACUGUUGCCAGCACGUUAUGGUGGGGACUCAGUGGAGACCGCCGGGGUCAACUCGGAGGAAGGUGGGGAUGACGUCAAGUCAUCAUGCCCCUUAUGUCCAGGGCUUCACGCAUGCUACAAUGGCUGGUACAGAGAGUGGCGAGCCUGUGAGGGUGAGCGAAUCUCGGAAAGCCGGUCUCAGUUCGGAUUGGGGUCUGCAACUCGACCCCAUGAAGUCGGAGUCGCUAGUAAUCGCAGAUCAGCAACGCUGCGGUAAAUACGUUCCCGGGGCU
RNAcentral lists this ribosomal RNA (1346 nucleotides) under uncultured bacterium. RNAcentral's name for it is "bacterial SSU rRNA". It matches the Rfam family "Bacterial small subunit ribosomal RNA", at positions 28 to 1381 of the family's 1533-position model. The record is from RNAcentral.